GGUAGAAUGGCUGAGUAAAGCAUUAGACUGUAAAUCUAAAAACAGAGAAUAAAUUCUCUUUCUAUCA
This 67-nucleotide transfer RNA is filed under the name Eospalax fontanierii. RNAcentral's name for it is "tRNA-Tyr". It matches the Rfam family "tRNA". Rfam says of the family: Transfer RNA (tRNA) molecules are approximately 80 nucleotides in length. Their secondary structure includes four short double-helical elements and three loops (D, anti-codon, and T loops). The record is from RNAcentral. Lineage: Eukaryota; Metazoa; Chordata; Mammalia; Rodentia; Spalacidae.